AUCGCUUCUCGGCCUUUUGGCUAAGAUCAAGUGUAGAAAUGCAACCAAUUCUCAGAGAUUACUCACAGCAGUUGAACCAUGACUGUAGUCUUGUAUUGAGAUGGUUUAGAAAGUUGCUAUGCAUACAGUACCUUUCAUACAUAGAAUAUUAUUC
Rattus norvegicus (Norway rat) is the source of this 154-nucleotide small nuclear RNA. Ensembl annotates it as U2 spliceosomal RNA. Lineage: Eukaryota; Metazoa; Chordata; Mammalia; Rodentia; Muridae. The record is from Ensembl.